This 894-nucleotide long non-coding RNA is filed under the name Heterocephalus glaber (naked mole-rat). RNAcentral's name for it is "lncRNA (ENSHGLG00000049902.1)". The record is from RNAcentral. Lineage: Eukaryota; Metazoa; Chordata; Mammalia; Rodentia; Bathyergidae.
GCAGGUUUUUCCUGGAAAGCCCCCUCUGCUUUACAUGGUUACUCCCGCCCCUCUGGGGUGGGCUUCGGGACCCUGUCUGGGCCCAAGAGGAGUGAAUCUAACCCUCACUCCAGGCUUCUUCUCACUCCCUCACUUCCCACAUGGCUCCUGACUGCCAAGCCCACUCAGCCGAGACUGCUGACCUGCAGUCCUUUUCUGUCCUCUGCAGAUGUGGACAAUGGCUACUACACAGUCAAAUUUGACUCCCUGCUGCUGAAAGAGGCCGUGGUGGAGGGGGACAGCAUCCUGCCCCCACUUCGACAGAGGCUGAAGAGUCCUCUGACUCAGACAGUGGCGAUCUGGGUGACUCCAGCUAUGCCAGAGUAGUGGAAUCAGGCCCUGUGGAUACUGGGACCAGUAGUUCCGCCCGCUGGCUGGGAGGCGCACACACGUGGCAUUGGAUCUAGGCUCCUCGCCAGAAUGGGCUAUGAGUUUGGCAAAGGUCUGGGCCGACAUGCAGAAGGCCGGGUGGAGCCCAUCCAUGCUGUGGUGUUGCCUCGAGGAAAGUCUCUAGGACCAAUGCGCAGAGACUCUGCAAAAGAGGACCAAGGAAGGGCAGGAUGGUGCCAAUAGGCCCCUCAAGGGGUGCCGGAGGAGGAAGGGCAGGCCUGUGGGCCACCUGCCCCUCGAGGAAUGUAUUUGACUUCCUGAAUGAAAAGCUGCAAAGCCAGGCUCCUAGGGGACCUGGAGGCUGGGGUGGAUCUCCCCAGAGGAAAGAAAACCAAGGACAUGUACCACGCCAGCAAGAGUGCCAAGCAGGCCCUGAACCUGCAGCUCUUCCAGACUGAGGAAAAGAUUGAGCGGGACCCAGCAGACAUCCGGGCAUCCAGGAGGCCCUCACUGGAAUGCUGGCCG